GGGUUGUGAGGUUAAGCGACUAAGCGUACACGGUGGAUGCCCUGGCAGUCAGAGGCGAUGAAGGGCGUGCUAAUCUGCGAUAAGCGCCGGUAAGGUGAUAUAAACCGUUAUAACCGGCGAUACCCGAAUGGGGAAACCCAGUGUGA
RNAcentral lists this ribosomal RNA (146 nucleotides) under Salmonella enterica. RNAcentral's name for it is "partial 23S ribosomal RNA". It matches the Rfam family "Bacterial large subunit ribosomal RNA", at positions 1 to 136 of the family's 2925-position model. RNAcentral also lists the same sequence under 1 other name. The record is from RNAcentral. Lineage: Bacteria; Pseudomonadati; Pseudomonadota; Gammaproteobacteria; Enterobacterales; Enterobacteriaceae.